GAAGGGAUAGCUCAGUAGUAGAGCGAGGGCUUAACAUGCCCUAGGUCCUGGGUUCAAUCACCAGUACCUCCA
This 72-nucleotide transfer RNA is filed under the name Camelus dromedarius (Arabian camel). It matches the Rfam family "tRNA". Rfam says of the family: Transfer RNA (tRNA) molecules are approximately 80 nucleotides in length. The record is from Rfam by way of RNAcentral. Lineage: Eukaryota; Metazoa; Chordata; Mammalia; Artiodactyla; Camelidae. RNAcentral also lists the same sequence under 1 other name.